Long non-coding RNA from Pezoporus occidentalis (night parrot), 349 nucleotides. RefSeq lists it as uncharacterized. The transcript is spliced from 2 exons. NCBI's taxonomy places the organism in Eukaryota, Metazoa, Chordata, Aves, Psittaciformes, Psittacidae. The record is from RefSeq and is a predicted model, not a curated record.
CAAACAGACUUCCUUCAUUCCAUCUGCCUACCAUUGAUCAUAGAUUACUGCUUUAACUGCUUUUAGAGAUCUGCCAAGAUAAAACCUUGUGAAAAUGCAGCAUAUGAGUUCACGUGUCCAACCAGAAAAACUAACAGGAAGAUUCUUUGCCAGAAGUGUGAAGUUUGACCUAUAUGGGAUUUUCCUCCUGGCAUUUCUGUCUUCAUCUGAAGCAUGGUGGGAUAUUCCAUCAUUUCCAAAUCAAGACUGAGUUCUUCGAUAGUUAAGUUAUUAAGAUGUUUUGAGUAGACAUUGGGAUUUUGCUCUUGAUUUGUACAACCUCUAAUAAAAUGAGUCUCAAUUAAUGCUA